GUCAAAUUAACUUUAUAUCACAAACUUGAGAUAUUUUCACUUGGACAUCAAUAUUGGGCUUCUUGAUUUGUCCUACAUUUAUAUGCUUGCACAGGUCUACAUUUUGGAAGUUCAUCGUUAAGAGUUUGAUUUUAUGGUUUGUUCAUUAGCAAAAAUGAGCACUGAUUAUACCAGUUUGGCAGAAUCCAGGGAAGAUUUAAUUGGAUUUGAAGGCUCUUAAAGGAUGAAAAAGUUUCUAUAAUUUGAUUUUGCACAUCAAACAUAUGCUGCUAGGUAGAGUUAAGCAUUAAAGCCCCUCGUACGGAGUUCACAAUUAUGAGCAUAUCAAUUUACAAGCUUUAUGCCUAGUCACUCGGGAUGACACUGUUUUUUUUACCUUCUAGUACCAAUAGAUUAUUUUAGUCAAUGCAGUUGGAACCUUGUCUAUAUAUCCUCAAAACUCAAGUGGUUUCUGUUACUUUAACCUCAGUGAUCAAGUUUUAUUUGCUUUUAUGAUGUGUGGGAAAUUAUCUGAAGUCAUAUCUGUAGUUUCCCUCCAGGGAAUACGAGGGUCAUCUUUUUGGACCACCAAAUCAUUUAGUAUACCGAGUACCAGUUGGUUUCAGAUUUGCA
Molecule: unclassified non-coding RNA, 612 nt
Filed under: Hevea brasiliensis (rubber tree)
Lineage: Eukaryota; Viridiplantae; Streptophyta; Magnoliopsida; Malpighiales; Euphorbiaceae
Source: RNAcentral